CAAGCGCUGGGCUGCGCUGCGGGAAUCCAGGAUGCUUUUGAUGUCUUUGAUCGUGCCGUCCUUGGCGCGAUAGCAGAGUUCGGCGCCUUGGCGCCUGG
Molecule: transfer RNA, 98 nt
Filed under: Lentisphaerae bacterium ADurb.Bin082
Lineage: Bacteria; Pseudomonadati; Lentisphaerota
Description: tRNA-Lys
Source: RNAcentral